RNAcentral lists this ribosomal RNA (1217 nucleotides) under metagenome. Its description in RNAcentral is "SSU rRNA". It matches the Rfam family "Eukaryotic small subunit ribosomal RNA", at positions 1 to 1259 of the family's 1831-position model. The record is from RNAcentral.
UCUGGUUGAUCCUGCCAGUAGUCAUAUGCUUGUCUCAAAGAUUAAGCCAUGCAUGUGUAAGUAUAAGUAUUGUACAGCGAAACUGCGAAUGGCUCAUUACAUCAGUUAUAGUUUAUUUGAUAUUUGAAAGUUACAUGGAUAACCGUGGCAAUUCUACAGCUAAUACAUGCUUCAAAACCUGACUUCGGAAGGGUUGUAUUUAUUAGAUAUUAAACCAUCCCCUCGGGGCUGUGAUGAAUCAUAAUAACUGAUCGAAUCGAGGUUCGCCUUGAUAAAUCAUUCAAGUUUCUGCCCUAUCAGCUGUAGAUGGUAGUGUAUUGGACUACCAUGGCUAUUACGGGUAACGGAGAAUUAGGGCUCGAUUCCGGAGAGGGAGCCUGAGAAACGGCUACCACAUCUACGGAUGGCAGCAGGCGCGAAAAUUGCCCAAUCCCGAUUCGGGGAGGCAGUGACAAGAAAUAACAACCCAGAACAUUGUUUCCGGGAUUGCAAUGAGAACAAUUUAAAAACCUUAUCGAGUACCAACUGGAGGGCAAGUUCUGGUGCCAGCAGCCGCGGUAACUCCAGCUCCAGUAGCGUAUAUUAAAGUUGCUGCAGUUAAAAAGCUCGUAGUUGAAUUUCUGUUUGUAAGAGUCGAAGCUUUACAGCUAAGAUUUCUUCGAACAUCUGUUUGCAAGCAUACGUUCGGCCUUCACUGGUUGGCUAUGUAAGCAAGCGCUUUACCUUGAGAAAAUUAGAGUGUUCCAGGCAGGCUUCAGCCGGAAUACAUUAGCAUGGAAUAAUGGAAUAGGACUGGGGACUAUUUAUUGGUUUGAGGCUCCAGUAAUGAUUAAUAGGAACAGUCGGGGGCAUUGGUACUUAACAGUCAGAGGUGAAAUUCUUGGAUUUGUUAAAGACUAACUAAUGCGAAAGCAUUUGCCAAGCAUGUUUUCAUUAAUCAAGAACGAAAGUUAGGGGAUCAAAGACGAUUAGAUACCGUCCUAGUCUUAACUGUAAACGAUUCCAUCUUAGAAUUGGGUGAAUAUUUGAUGAUUCAUCCAGCGCUAUAAGAGAAAUCAAAGUCUUUGGGUUCUUGGUGGAGUACGAUCGCAAGAUUGAAACUUAAAGGAAUUGACGGUUUUGCACACCAUGGAGUGGAGCCUGUGGCUUAAUUUGACCCAACACUGGGAAACUCAUCAGGACAACAAAGUUUUAGGAUUGACAGAUUGAUAGCUCUU